RNAcentral lists this long non-coding RNA (392 nucleotides) under Olea europaea (common olive). RNAcentral's name for it is "long non-coding RNA (OEUR_LNC006762)". Lineage: Eukaryota; Viridiplantae; Streptophyta; Magnoliopsida; Lamiales; Oleaceae. The record is from RNAcentral.
UUGAAUUCGGGACACAAAAGUCUUGGAUUGAUUGAGUCAAAUCUGAAAAACUCUUGUCUUUUUUCCAAAUGUCUGAGUAAUUUCUUAUCUUGUUGCAUAAUUGUGUCUGCCAAUACUGUCUAAAGAAUCUCCUCCGUCAGUACAUCCAUCUGGAUUGUCUUCUUCUGAAUUAUUGUCUUCAAAAUUAUCCAAAUCUUUUUCUUGUUCAAUUUUCUUUUUACCUUUAUUUUUCUUUUUAAUCUGUAUUUUCUUUUUCUUUGUAGUACUUUGUUUAACUUGCUGCUGUAUUUCUUCGAUCUUUUCAAACAUUUCUUUGAUUCUUCUGAUGUCUGAUUGAGAAAUCUGUUCUGGAUCUUGAGCUGAUUGAAAUGAUUCUGGAAGGUUAAUUGNNN